This 243-nucleotide ribosomal RNA is filed under the name uncultured bacterium. RNAcentral describes it as "partial 16S ribosomal RNA". It matches the Rfam family "Bacterial small subunit ribosomal RNA", at positions 87 to 334 of the family's 1533-position model. The record is from RNAcentral.
GCAAGGCAGUGGCAGACAGGUAGUAACACGUACGAACGUACUCCCAAGUCAGGGAUAGCUCGCCGAAAGGCGGGGUAAUACUUGAUGGUCCCUACGGGGUAAAGAUUCCAAUUUAUUUUGGUUUGGCUUGGGAAGCGGCGUGCGCAGUAUCAGCUUGUUGGUAGUGUAACGGACUACCAAGGCUACGACGCUUAGGGGAGGUGAGAGCCUGACCCCCACCGAUGGGACUGAGACACGGCCCAU